UACGGAGGGUGCAAGCGUUAUCCGGAUUCACUGGGGUUAAAGGGUGCGUAGGUGGGCAGGUAAGUCAGUGGUGAAAUCUCCGGGCCUAACCCGGAAACUGCCGUUGAUACUAUCUGUCUUGAAUAUAGUGGAGGUGAGCGGAAUAUGUCAUGUAGCGGUGAAAUGCUUAGAUAUGACAUAGAACACCCAUUGCGAAGGCAGCUCGCUACACUAUCAUUGACACUGAGGCACGAAAGCGUGGGGAUCAAACAGG
Molecule: ribosomal RNA, 253 nt
Filed under: uncultured bacterium
Lineage: Bacteria
Description: partial 16S ribosomal RNA
Rfam family: Bacterial small subunit ribosomal RNA
Source: RNAcentral